This 207-nucleotide long non-coding RNA is filed under the name Nicotiana benthamiana. Its description in RNAcentral is "long non-coding RNA (NBEN_LNC039682)". The record is from RNAcentral. Lineage: Eukaryota; Viridiplantae; Streptophyta; Magnoliopsida; Solanales; Solanaceae.
UUAAGUGUAUAAGGCUGAUUUGGAGCUGCAUUUCAUGGCUCAACACCUUCGUCACUAAUUUAAACCCAAACAAGAGAUCCAACACAGUGAUGGACAGGUUCACAAAGUAUGAGUAUUAAAACCAUGAGCUCAAGCUAGCUGACAUCGACAUCGAGAGAAACACAUGCCAAUCAUGACAAAAGGAAAUCAAAACUUAAUGAGCUAUUU